Molecule: long non-coding RNA, 508 nt
Filed under: Ursus maritimus (polar bear)
Lineage: Eukaryota; Metazoa; Chordata; Mammalia; Carnivora; Ursidae
Description: lncRNA (ENSUMAG00000005619.1)
Source: RNAcentral
GGAAAACAGAUGUUGAAGGAUGGAAAAUUCUGCCCAUACGUCGUGAAGAGCUCACUUGGGAAGUUUCCUAACGCAGAGAUAAAUUAGGAAGCAGAUCCUGGUGCCGGAUCUUGGUAUACAAGUUUGUUUCCGAAGAGCCCAGGGUUGAAAAUUAACUUCAGGACAAAACACCGCAGUCCAGAAGAGUGGUGGUGGUAGCCAGAGGCUUUUUUCUUCGGAUGACAAAACUGAUGGGGCAGGAUGUGGCAGCCCAACUGUGUGCCUGUGCUCCAGGCUAACUAGUUUUCCUGGGUUUGGAUCCUGUGUUCAGAGACCCACUGGGUUGUUUGACCAAGAAAGGCUCCGUUUUCCCUCUUCCAGAGGGAGCAAUCACGUGCCCUCACCAGAACAAGCCGGAGUCCUCGGCCCUGCAUGCAAUCUGAUUUCUCUCAGAGCCUGGAGCAGCCCGCACACCAUCUGCGUCCACGUUCGUGGGACUAUGAAGUGCUGACACAGGACUGCAGCUCGG